UAAUGUAUUGUAAUUUUAAUGACUGCAUCUAAAUGAAAUCUAAUUAUUCUUGAUACAGACCAAACUGCAACAAUCGUCACAACCGAGCACCCAGAGUUGUUCAUACCCGUCGAUUCGCAAAAUGAAUUAUUUAUACAGAUAGAGUCGCCAAUCGAUUUUAAUCAACC
This is a long non-coding RNA of Polypterus senegalus (gray bichir), 167 nucleotides long. RefSeq lists it as uncharacterized. The transcript is spliced from 3 exons. The record is from RefSeq and is a predicted model, not a curated record. NCBI's taxonomy places the organism in Eukaryota, Metazoa, Chordata, Cladistia, Polypteriformes, Polypteridae.